GAUGAAGAACGCAGCGAAAUGCGAUAAGUAAUGUGAAUUGCAGAAUUCAGUGAAUCAUCGAAUCUUUGAACGCACCUUGCGCCCUUUGGACUUCUGAAGGGCAUGCCUGUUUGAGUAUCAUGAACACCUCAACUCCUUAUGGUCUUCCAUGAUGAGCUUGGACUUUGGGGGUUUUGCUGGCCUACAGUCAGCUCCUAUAAAAUAAAUCAGCUUACCGGUGUUUGGUGGGUAUCAUGGGUGUGAUAACUAUCUACGCUCGUGGUUUUCCACCAGGUAACCUUCAGCAGUGGAGGUUCACUGGAGCUCAUAGAUGUCUCUCCUCAGCGAGGACAGCCCUUUGAAUGUUUGAUCUCAAAUCAGGUAGGACUACCCGCUGAACUUAAGCAUAUCAAUAAGCGGAGGA
This 403-nucleotide unclassified non-coding RNA is filed under the name soil metagenome. Its description in RNAcentral is "partial contains 5.8S ribosomal RNA, internal transcribed spacer 2, and large subunit ribosomal RNA". The stretch from base 1 to 120 matches the Rfam family "5.8S ribosomal RNA", at positions 35 to 154 of the family's 154-position model. The record is from RNAcentral.